Molecule: transfer-messenger RNA, 392 nt
Filed under: bacterium
Lineage: Bacteria
Rfam family: transfer-messenger RNA
About the family: Bacterial tmRNA, also known as 10Sa RNA or SsrA, is named for its dual tRNA and mRNA-like properties. Its role is to liberate the mRNA from a stalled ribosome. To accomplish this part of the tmRNA is used as a reading frame that ends in a translation stop signal.
Source: RNAcentral
GGGCCACUCCUGGUUUCGACGGGGGUGACAAAGUUAUAUAAGCAUGCAGAGUUUGUAGAGACCUCUUAAAAAAUCUUCAAAAAAUAGUUGCUAACUACAACGAACCCGUGGCUCUCGCUGCCUAAUCGCAGCCGCUACACCAACCUUUAAGGUUGUUAACCCCUUUGACAGUGUCUUGACAUCAACUAACGUCUAAGGGUUCAAAUUAAUUGAUGUUAUCUACCGAUGUGCAAUGGCGAGGGCAAAUUCGGAGAUUAUAAUAAUGCCAUAGCGGCCUGUACGGAUGAGCCAACAGACGAGCAGGAGUUAUUCAAAUAGUAAAAAUGGAUAAGCAUGUAGAAAAUAUAAUGGCGUACUUUCGGAAAUGGGUUCAACUCCCAUGUGGUCCACCA